CGCCAAGCUUGUGCCGGGGCGCGAUCGUUCGGCGUUCUGUCACGGUCAGACUGGAGGAAGUUAAGUCUGUGUGGGGUCUGUGCCUGACUUACAGGGCGCGUCAGCGGACUGAGACCCUGACCCCUGCCGUCCGCGUGACCUUCCAGGCGCCCUGACCGAAACUUUUCAUAAGCUGACAGUGUUUUUUAAAUCAUGGUUGGCAGGAUCAGUUUGGUGGGUCACGGACUAACAGUGUUUUGUUUUGUUUUGUUUUGUUUUGUUUUGUUUUGUUUUGUUUUGUUUUUUUAAGCCUGUAGGGGCACCUGGCUGGCUCAGUAGGGGAGGAGCAUGGGGCUUUUGAUACCAGGGUUGUGAGUUCAAGCCCCUCUUUGGGUGUGGAGAUUACUAAAAUAAAUAAACUUUAUUAAAAAAAAAAAAGAAGAAGAAGAAACCUACAGUGCAGUUCAUUAGGGCAGAGUUCAUACCAGUUUUGUGCAGGGUCCAUACAGCCAAACCCAAGGAGUAAGGAUGGGCUGUCCACUUACGGGCACCCGGAUUGGGGACGGCAGGCAAGAGGCACGGUGGGCUGAGCUGGGAACAGGAAGCAGGCACAACGGUGGAGAGCAGACAUUAAAAGAACCGCACACGUGGGGAUAAAGAUACAAGCUCUGGGAAGGGCCCACAGAAAGAAACAAGGGGCCUCCUUUAGCCAGGGAAGGGCUGAGCUGGAACGGUUCCACCGAGCUAGCAAGGCAGAGAAGGAUUUCACCUGCUCAGCGUCCUUGCCUCAAAAUUGUACCUCUCUCCAGCUCCAUGUGAGGUGAGGCUGCCUCUUGGAGCACUUGGAUCACACCGGUACCAAAAAUGGACUUUCUCUGCACUUCUAGCCCCGUGGAUGGCCUGCGAGUGGCAUUUUCUGGGUAUAACUGAGGCAUCCAGCUGGUGCUCCUUACAUGUUAGCAGAACAAAUCCCACCCACUGUCCCUGAGGAGGCCAUCCAUUCCUUACCGAAGCAAUCCACUAUCCUACUGGCAGAGUUAUCAGCUCAAGGUAAAUUGAGAGUGAAAUGUUUUUUGGAGAGCCCACAGAGACAUGUCACAGUUCUCUCCGUUUCUGGGCCUUCGAGUCAUGAGGAUCAGUCUCUGAUGUGGGACAGGGAUACAGCCACCCCUCCCAGGCAACUGGCAGCAAAACAUGAGAGGAGAACAGCAGAAAGGUGGAGCCAACCGUGGGAGAACCACACUUCUAGAGCCCAAAAAGGGCAAAAACAGUCACACAAGAACAAAAGAGCUCUUAAGAAUAGUGGGCUGGAUUCUAAAACUGGGACCCAAACACCUGGACAUUUCCUGUGUCCCUGCUGUGAUUGGCACUGGGCUGGGGGCACAGAUCUGAAGCCCACAGAACCCUGCCUUCAGGAGCUCAGAGUUGGUGGGUCCAGGAGAAGUGGAAUAAAUGAGGCAGAGUAUGAAACCCUGAGAGAGUUGGUCCUGCUGACCUCUUCAGUACCCUUCCCCUCACCCCUUGGCCUUGUACCUCACGCUCAUGGUCAAAAUGGACUAUGGUGGUUACCCAAACACACUGCCAAGUGCUCGUACCCCUGCUAUUUUCACUUCACUACUUGGAAUACUUUUCCUGCCUCAGCUAAAAUGUUACCUUCCUGCUGAAUGCUCUUUCAUUUUAUUAAAGAAAUACAGGCAUUAAUUGAGUGCUUACUACACUCUUACCUCUCCCUCCCAGCUCUGGCAGAAAUAAUUACAGUGGACCCUUACACCACCCGAGAGUGAAAUGCAUGGGUCCACUUAUACACAGAUUAUUUUCGAUAAAUACUGUACUGUACUUAU
Leopardus geoffroyi (Geoffroy's cat) is the source of this 1820-nucleotide long non-coding RNA. RefSeq lists it as uncharacterized. The transcript has 3 exons. The record is from RefSeq and is a predicted model, not a curated record. NCBI's taxonomy places the organism in Eukaryota, Metazoa, Chordata, Mammalia, Carnivora, Felidae.